CGCCGCGUGAGCGAUGAAGCCCUUCGGGGUGUAAAACGCUCUUUCGACGGGAACGAUAAUGACGGUACCCGAAGAAGAAAGCUGCGGCUAACUACGUGC
RNAcentral lists this ribosomal RNA (99 nucleotides) under uncultured bacterium. Its description in RNAcentral is "partial 16S ribosomal RNA". It matches the Rfam family "Bacterial small subunit ribosomal RNA", at positions 395 to 508 of the family's 1533-position model. The record is from RNAcentral.